RNAcentral lists this ribosomal RNA (253 nucleotides) under uncultured bacterium. Its description in RNAcentral is "partial 16S ribosomal RNA". It matches the Rfam family "Bacterial small subunit ribosomal RNA", at positions 524 to 776 of the family's 1533-position model. The record is from RNAcentral.
GACAGAGGGUGCAAACGUUGUUCGGAAUUACUGGGCGUAAAGCGAGUGUAGGCGGUUCGGUAAGUCGGAUGUGAAAGCCCCGGGCUCAACCCGGGAAGUGCACUCGAUACUGCCGAGCUAGAGUAUCGGAGAGGUUGGUGGAAUUCUCGGUGUAGAGGUGAAAUUCGUAGAUAUCGAGAGGAACACCGGUGGCGAAGGCGGGUCUCUGGGCAGUAACUGACGCUGAGGAGCGAAAGCGUGGGGAGCGAACAGG